Molecule: ribosomal RNA, 1455 nt
Filed under: uncultured prokaryote
Description: partial 16S ribosomal RNA
Rfam family: Bacterial small subunit ribosomal RNA
Source: RNAcentral
UUGAUCCUGGCUCAGAACGAACGCUGGCGGCGUGGAUAAGGCAUGCAAGUCGAGCGCGAAAGUUUCCUUCGGGAGAUGAGUAGAGCGGCAAACGGGUGAGUAACACGUGAGCAACCUGCCCUCGGGUGGGGGACAACCUCGGGAAACUGAGGCUAAUACCGCAUAAUGUUACCGGGCUUCAUGGUUUGGUAACCAAAGGGGGGGAGACCUCCCGCCUGGAGAGGGGCUCGCGCCUGAUUAGCUUGUUGGUGAGGUAAUGGCUCACCAAGGCAUUGAUCAGUAGCCGGUCUGAGAGGAUGGCUGGCCACACUGGGAUUGAGAUACGGCCCAGACUCCUACGGGGGGCAGCAGUCUAGAAGCUUCCGCAAUGGGCGAAAGCCUGACGGAGCGACGCCGCGUGCAGGACGAAGGCUUUCGGGUCGUAAACUGCUUUCGACAGGGAGGAAAUGCUGGGUGGUUAAUACCUGCUUAGUUUGAAGGUACCUGGAGAAGAAGCCCUGGCUAACUCCGUGCCAGCAGCCGCGGUAAUACGGAGAGGGCAAGCGUUGUUCGGAUUUAUUGGGCGUAAAGCGCACGCAGGCGGCUGAAUAAGUCGGGUGUUAAAGACCUACCGCUCACCCGGGAGAAUGCGUCCGAUACUGCUAAACUAGAGUGUGGGAGAGGAAAGUGGAAUUCCAUGUGUAGCGGUGAAAUGCGUAGAUAUCUGGAGGAACACCGGUGGCGAAGGCGGCUUUCUGGCCCACAACUGACGCUGAGACUCGAAAGCGUGGGGAGCGAACGGGAUUAGAUACCCCGGUAGUCCACGCUGUAAACGUUGGAUACUAGGUGUGGGAGGUAUUCUACCCCUUCUGUGCCGUCGCUAACGCAUUAAGUAUCCCGCCUGGGGAGUACGACCGCAAGGUUGAAACUCAAAGGAAUUGACGGGGGCCCGCACAAGCGGUGGAGCAUGUGGUUUAAUUCGACGCAACGCGAAGAACCUUACCUGGGUUUAAAUCGCGGCGGACCGCUCCAGAGAUGGAGUUUCCCUUCGGCCACCGCCGUGAAGGUGCUGCAUGGCUGUCGUCAGCUCGUGUCGUGAGAUGUUGGGUUAAGUCCCGCAACGAGCGCAACCCCUACCCUUAGUUGCCAGCGGUUCGGCCGGGAACUCUAAGGGGACUGCCGGUGAUAAACCGGAGGAAGGUGGGGAUGACGUCAAGUCAUCAUGGCCUUUAUGUCCAGGGCUACACACGUGCUACAAUGGGCGGUACAAAGGGCUGCGAUGCCGCAAGGUGGAGCCAAUCCCAAAAACCUGUCCUCAGUUCGGAUUGCAGUCUGCAACUCGACUGCAUGAAGGUGGAAUCGCUAGUAAUCGCGGAUCAGCAUGCCGCGGUGAAUACGUUCCCUGAGCCUUGUACACACCGCCCGUCACAUGACCCGAGUUGGCUGCUCCCGAAGUCGCUGUCCGAACCGUAAGGA